UGUAAAAUAAGCUAAGAGUCAAGCUGUUGGGUUCAUGCCCCAAAAAUGAACACAGGUUCUUUUACAG
This 67-nucleotide transfer RNA is filed under the name Penion ormesi. Its description in RNAcentral is "tRNA-Met". The record is from RNAcentral. Lineage: Eukaryota; Metazoa; Mollusca; Gastropoda; Neogastropoda; Buccinidae.